UACAGGCUUAACACAUGCAAGUCGAGGGGCAGCAUGGUCUUAGCUUGCUAAGGCCGAUGGCGACCGGCGCACGGGUGAGUAACACGUAUCCAACCUGCCGUCUACUCUUGGACAGCCUUCUGAAAGGAAGAUUAAUACAAGAUGGCAUCAUGAGUUCACAUGUUCACAUGAUUAAAGGUAUUCCGGUAGACGACGGGGAUGCGUUCCAUUAGAUAGUAGGCGGGGUAACGGCCCACCUAGUCUUCGAUGGAUAGGGGUUCUGAGAGGAAGGUCCCCCACAUUGGAACUGAGACACGGUCCAAACUCCUACGGGAGGCAGCAGUGAGGAAUAUUGGUCAAUGGGCGCAGGCCUGAACCAGCCAAGUAGCGUGAAGGAUGACUGCCCUAUGGGUUGUAAACUUCUUUUAUAAAGGAAUAAAGUCGGGUAUGUAUACCCGUUUGCAUGUACUUUAUGAAUAAGGAUCGGCUAACUCCGUGCCAGCAGCCGCGGUAAUACGGAGGAUCCGAGCGUUAUCCGGAUUUAUUGGGUUUAAAGGGAGCGUAGAUGGAUGUUUAAGUCAGUUGUGAAAGUUUGCGGCUCAACCGUAAAAUUGCAGUUGAUACUGGAUAUCUUGAGUGCAGUUGAGGCAGGCGGAAUUCGUGGUGUAGCGGUGAAAUGCUUAGAUAUCACGAAGAACUCCGAUUGCGAAGGCAGCCUGCUAAGCUGCAACUGACAUUGAGG
This 721-nucleotide ribosomal RNA is filed under the name uncultured Bacteroidales bacterium. RNAcentral describes it as "bacterial SSU rRNA". It matches the Rfam family "Bacterial small subunit ribosomal RNA", at positions 41 to 751 of the family's 1533-position model. The record is from RNAcentral. Lineage: Bacteria; Pseudomonadati; Bacteroidota; Bacteroidia; Bacteroidales.